Non-coding RNA from Leptonychotes weddellii (Weddell seal), 3009 nucleotides. The record is from RefSeq and is a predicted model, not a curated record. NCBI's taxonomy places the organism in Eukaryota, Metazoa, Chordata, Mammalia, Carnivora, Phocidae.
GCAAGAGCUAUGACAAAUGAAAACCAUUUUUUAAUGACUUUUCAUAGUUUAUAUAGGUAACUGUGAGUAUAUUCUGGUAGUCAGGUGAUACUUAUUUUGAAAAUGGGUCAUAUUUCUGAUAAAACCAAUCAUUCAGCAAAGACCUGUUGAGGAUGUGCAUGUGCUGUGCGUUGAACUAGUCACUGGGGGUACAAAGAUGAUACAGUCUCUGCUUUCAUACGACCUACUUUGAAAAAGAGAAAGAAAAAUAUUUUAGAUCCACAGUUGACUUGAGUCUUUAACAAAUGCUUAUCUAGUGGAUGUUCUGUUGAUUAUUUUUAGAUGCCACAAUUAAUUAACAGUAAUCAGUGAAGCAUUAUCUCCCCUCAAACAAACCAGCUUCCAAACCUAACUGCUUAAGUUUCCUCUUCUCCCUAAUACGUUAUAGUCUUCAACUUUGAAUACAAGUUUUGAGGUAUUUAAAUUUCAGAGAAAAACUUUACUUUGUUCUACAGGCAGAUUUCCAAGAAGUUUCUUCUCAUUUUCCCAUUUAGUAUCUGUCAUGUUUUAAAAAUUAAGGCUGUGUACCAAAUAUGAGUCAUUAUGAGGUUUCUUUUAUUUCACUUUUUCCUUUGAGGCAUUCUAAAAUAAUGUUAAGGUAAUGUCAAUAAUUUCUUCUUUUCCCCCCCAGCUGGUCCAUAUGGAAUAUUUGCUGGUAGGGAUGCCUCCAGAGGACUGGCGACAUUUUGCCUAGAUAAAGAUGCACUUAAAGAUGAAUAUGAUGAUCUCUCAGACUUGAAUGCUGUACAAAUGGAGAGUGUCCGAGAAUGGGAAAUGCAGUUUAAAGAAAAAUAUGAUUAUGUAGGCAGACUCCUAAAACCAGGGGAAGAACCAUCAGAAUAUACAGAUGAAGAAGAUACCAAGGAUCACAAUAAACAGGAUUGAACUUUGUAAACAACCAAAGUCAGGGGCCUUCAGAACUGCAAUUCUUAUUACUCCCUUUCACAGAAUGUCCAGCAUCUUUGGGUUUGGUUCACCUGCUGCAAAAAACAUUCAACAGAUUGUAUACAAGCUAAAUGAGUCUCACUAUGAAGAUUUGAAUACUAGACAUUAUUUAUGCUGCCAAACUCAUUUAUUGCAGUUGUUUGUAAUGUCUGGUGGGGCUUCAUCAUCCUGAAAAGGAGGAAACAGGGACUUUUUUAAAGAGCAAGAAAGUCACAAGGUUACUUUUUCCUUCCUUGCUUCCUCCCUCCCUCCUACCCUCCUUCCCUCCCUUCCUUCCUCUUUUUUUUUUUUUUUAAAUCAAAGACAACCAGAUAUGUAUUUGCUACAUAAGUGUACAAAUCUCAAAAACAGCAAGGGAUUCAUGUGCUGUGUUCUUGUUUUAGCUUUGAGGGAAGAGACUUGGGCAGGAGAAGUUGGGGGUGCACAUCAAUUUGAGUAGUUUAGGUUACUGAAACAUUAAAAUGUGAAUUCCCAAACUUUUCUUUUUGGGUUUUGUCAGGGAAAAGAAAAAUACCUUUAUUUCUAAGAAAUUAAGAGAAGGGAUUUCAAGUGGAUCUAAGUCAAAGCUAAUUCCCCAAUAGUAAGAUCAUUUGAAACUAGUUUUUAUCCCUUCCCUUCCCCUAUUGAUCAAAUCAAUAUUAAUUGUGCCUUAUUUCACUUAUAUAGACUUGAAUUAUUUUAGGGAAAGCCCCUAUGUGAAUUCAGAAGUCACUACAAGCAGCAUUGAGACUGAAGUUGGGAUAUUCUCUUGACCGCAAAACCUUGAAGUCAUUCUGUGUAUAUAGAAUGUAAAAGGAAUAUUCAGUGUUACUGCCACAUAUGUUAAUAUACACAAUCUUAAUUAGCAUUGUAAUGGCCAAAUGCAUUCCCUCAUGCUUUCUCUCUCUCUUUUAAAAAAAACUGAAAAACAAAUCAACUCUGUCCCCCAACAGCUGCCUAAUUUUAGGAGUCUGACCCUCACAUCUCAUUGGUGUGGGUGCAUGGGGCCGUAGUAUGGAUGUUGUAUGGAUGUGUCUGAAUGUGUGUGAGAGCGCCUUGGAAGGGACUCUGCAGAUACUGUAAAUACCAGUACCGUUUUAAUAAAGCAUGUACAAUAAACCAAAAUAAGCUUGAGUUGGACUUUAUAUACAAACUGUAAGCCAGUGCAUUAUGAUAUGGUAGUCAGGAUUGUGCAUUUGAUUCAAGAUAAGGAAAAAUCUUGGAAAUGAAAAGCAGGCACUGGUUAAACAAGUUGUACACAUUGUACCACAUUCACUGUAACUUUAGGAAGAAAUUCCACUUUGUGGAACAUUCUCAAGAGAUCUGAGAUUAUUCAGGUAAGAAUUGAUAUAUAAAAAUGUACAUAUUUUUACUUUAUAUUUUGAUGCCAACUGAUUAUACUAGAAGUAAUAGCACCAGAUGGUAGUUACUGAACACAAAAUAAUAAAGGAUAUUCUACUGAUAGGUACUGAAUCCUUCUAUUGUUCAUUUGUAAAAGCCCUAUAUGUCGGUUACUUGAUUUCAUCACGACUACUUAGGUUCUUGGUUGGAUACAAGUUACACCAAAAAAGAUAAUUUUAUUAAACAAGUCACCAGUUAAAGAAAAGAUUUAUUCUGCUUUAUGAGUAUAAUAUAUGCAGAAGCCAUCAAAGAAAGGGGAAAUGUAAACUGCAAUAAUAAGCUAAAGUAUGUAAAAUACUACAUUCUAUUAUAUUCGGUCUUGGAAUGUUUUGUAGAAAAUGAUGAACAUCAGCCAAAUCUUUGCUGAAGACUGGUUGUAAAAACUGAGGAGUAUUGGUAAAUGCUUUGUGUGUUUUUAUGUAAAAUAUUUUUUAAACAAAUUUGUUAAAGUACAUGUCCUCUGUAGUAAGCAUAUAAAUAUAUAUAUAUGAAUCAUUUGAGCCUAAAGUUCAGAAAUAAAUCUACACCUGUGAAUAGAGAAACCCUAAAUAUCCAUGCAGUAAAAAUUAUGCAGUCUGUUAAGAAAAUUGAGUAAUUUUGUGUUUUGGACUUGAAAUAAACCGUGUUCUACAGACAAUUCCUCAA